Long non-coding RNA from Humulus lupulus (European hop), 1084 nucleotides. RefSeq lists it as uncharacterized. The transcript has 3 exons. NCBI's taxonomy places the organism in Eukaryota, Viridiplantae, Streptophyta, Magnoliopsida, Rosales, Cannabaceae. The record is from RefSeq and is a predicted model, not a curated record.
CCCUGUUCGCUCACAGCCCUGUUCUCUGCCAUUCCGUUCCGUUCUCACAGCCGUUCCGUUGGAGUCCCUGAUGUUUUGAUCUUCAACAACAAUCGCCUCUUCCAGUUCUUCGUCAAGACCGAUUCAUCUGCAACUGCUGGGUUUACCCAGCUACCGAUUAAUACAAGACGAGCUCAAAUCUUUGCAAUGGCGGCUUGCACUGUGAAUGUGCUCAGGUGACUGGCUCCAGCGACUCUGCUUCAUCGACAUGUUGCGUGGUGCUCAGCUUUGGAAGAAGGCUAUGCUCAUCUAUUUGAAGAGAAGUGUAUAUGAGAAGUAUAUAGAAUAUUACUACCUCUUUAUAUAAGUUUCAGGUAUGACUCUUCAAUUUGUAUUGUGUAGUUAUUGAACAUAUUUCCUUUAGUCUUUUUGACAGUUAAUUUCUUACCAAAGUCGUUGUUUCCUUGCUGCUUCAUGACCAUUUUUUUUCCAAUUUAACAAUUGUUGUUUUCAAUACCAUUAUAUAAUUGGGUAUUCAUGUAAGUUAGGAUCUAGGAUAUGUUGCAUAUUUGGCUUUGGAUGAUUAGUGUCCUGUCUUAAACUGAGACUUCUAUCAUUGUUGUUUCUGUUCACUUUUUUUUUUGUCUUUACUUAGUCAAGAAAGACUGUAAGACUUGUUCAAUAUUUUGAAGUCACAUAAAGUUCACAAAUUACGUAUGUAGCUUUCUUGUUAUUGCUGAUUAUUGAAUUUUGUUUAUUUGUCUACUUGUUGUAUUCCUUUUACUUUUAAUAUUUUAAAAUUUUAAUAUUGAAUUCUCAUUACGUCUCAUAAUUGACUGGACUUUUGACAUCCGUUUUCUUAAAUUUUUUGAACAAAUUGGUAAGUAGUAGGUUAUAGAGCUGCUGUGAUUAUGUCCGGAAAUAUAUUGUUGGGGUUAGAGCAAAUGAUACCAAGCUUUGUUUUGUGAUUACUCUGUUUAGUCAAAAUGAGCUUAAACUUUGAAUUUAUAUAGGUUUAUUAUAAAUUUAAUAUUGAGUAUUGAAUUUCAAGUGCCCCUAGUGACCUUUGUGCCUUGACUAAAAUGCAUGAGCUUCCGUAUAUUUA